AUGGGGUUUUGCCAUGUUGCCCAGGGUGGUCUCAAACUCCUGGGCUCAAGCAAAUCCACCUGCCUCAGCCUCCCAAAGUGCUGGGAUUACAGGCAUGAGCCACCACUCCCUGUCAGGAAACAUUUUUAUUUUGUGCAUUUUAAAUUUGAUUUUUAGCUUAAGUUUGAUCAAUAAACUAACCACCUCACUAUCCCUCGCAAGACCAAGACCUCUUUCUUUAGUUUCAGAAUACCUUGAAUUUUGGUGCACAUUUUUGCUAUUUUCAGAAAAUACAUCGAAGUAGCCUUAUAUCAAAGGUAGCCUUAUAUAUGGAGAGCCUUAUGCAAAGAUAUUAGAGUAUUUAAUUUCUAGUUAUUUUUUCUAGAAUUGAGAAUCUCGGGUAUUUCUGAGCAUAUAAGAACUUUGAGAAGAGUUCUCUAGUUAUGGGUAAAAUAUAUUAAGUACAUUGAGAAUGUCUUUACAUUUUCUGACAUUUGUACUUACAUUGAGUAAAGUUAUACCUCACUUUCUUGGUUGAUACUGUCAUUUGAUAAAAUUCAUCAGUGGAUAAAUUGCUAUGUAUGUGUGUGAUAAAGAUACUUGCCUUAAAAUAGAACACUUCUGUCUUGCAAACAGUUUAUGGUCAAAUUGCCUUUUCAGUUACUGUUCUUUCCAUGCACCUAGUGAAUUUAAGUCUGAUAAAGUCCCUGGAUGUAAGAAAGAAGAUGAAAUGUCUUUUCAUUGUUAAUUAUCUGCACCUGGAUUAAAAAGUAUUUUCAACAUGUGAAGACUUUAUGGAAAAAAAUAAUAUGUGUGUGUUGUUUGACUUUUACUGCUAAAGACAGCAAGUGAUUGAACAGAUAAAAUUAUGUAUUGGUUUUAACCAUUAUUUUUAUUGACCCUAUCCUCAAUGAGAGUAUUCAAUUGUGUGUGUGGUCAGUUGUACUAUUUUCACUGUAUAUACAUAACUACUGUUAACUGUCAUCCUUAAUGGCCAUUGUAUAUGUCAUGGAAGGAUCAGAUGUACUGUAUCAACCAAUGGGGAAGAUAAUGUGGAUAGAAAAGAUUGUAUUAUCAUUUGGGAUUUAAGGUAAUAAUUAUGUUGUUUGGUAGGCGUUUUAGGAAUGAUGGUUUAAAUGGACAUAGCUUUUAUUUUCUAAUAAAAAUAUUUCAAAUCAGCUCAAUUUGUGUGACAUUUUCUAUUUUAAUAUGGGAUUAUUAAAGUAUGCAGUCAUUUGGGUCAUAACUUUCCUCAUUCAG
Molecule: long non-coding RNA, 1239 nt
Filed under: Homo sapiens (human)
Lineage: Eukaryota; Metazoa; Chordata; Mammalia; Primates; Hominidae
Description: HSALNT0030737
Source: RNAcentral